RNAcentral lists this ribosomal RNA (255 nucleotides) under uncultured bacterium. RNAcentral's name for it is "partial 16S ribosomal RNA". It matches the Rfam family "Bacterial small subunit ribosomal RNA", at positions 524 to 776 of the family's 1533-position model. The record is from RNAcentral.
UACGUAGGCAGCGAGCGUUGUUCGGAAUUACUGGGCGUAAAGAGUGUGUAGGUGGUGCUCUAAGUUCGGUGUGAAAUCUCCCGGCUUAACUGGGAGGGUGCGGCGAAAACUGGAAUGCUAGAGGAUGGGAGAGGUAAGCGGAAUUCCUGGUGUAGCGGUGAAAUGCGUAGAUAUCAGGAGGAACACCUGUGGUGUAGACAGCUUACUGGACCAUUUCUGACGCUGAGACGCGAAAAGCGUGGGGGAGCGAACAGG